Molecule: ribosomal RNA, 119 nt
Organism: Bos grunniens (domestic yak)
Lineage: Eukaryota; Metazoa; Chordata; Mammalia; Artiodactyla; Bovidae
Source: Ensembl
GUCUAUGGCCAUGCCACCCUGAAAGCGCCCGAUCUUGUCUGAUCUCGGAAGCUAAGCAGGAUCGGGCCUGGUUAGUACUUGGAUGGGAGAUCGCUUGGGAAUACCGGGUGCUGUAGGCU